GCAAACUUGGUCAUUUAGAGGAAGUAAAAGUCGUAACAAGGUUUCCGUAGGUGAACCUGCGGAAGGAUCAUUACUAAAGGUUUGUAAAGCGAUCCUGCCGCCUUUUUGGCGGUAGGAUCGCUUUAUAAAAAACCUCAGAAUUUGAUUCACCCUUUGUGCACUCACUUGGGACCGUUCUCUCGUAAUUGAGGAUCGGCUCCUUAUCUUACGCUUUAAUUUUGUCUGAAAUUUGAACUAAAAUUGUAAUACAACUUUCAACAACGGAUCUCUUGGCUCUCGCAUCGAUGAAGAACGCAGC
This 298-nucleotide unclassified non-coding RNA is filed under the name uncultured fungus. Its description in RNAcentral is "partial contains small subunit ribosomal RNA, internal transcribed spacer 1, and 5.8S ribosomal RNA". The stretch from base 1 to 73 matches the Rfam family "Eukaryotic small subunit ribosomal RNA", at positions 1759 to 1831 of the family's 1831-position model. The record is from RNAcentral. Lineage: Eukaryota; Fungi.